Eptesicus fuscus (big brown bat) is the source of this 346-nucleotide long non-coding RNA. RefSeq lists it as uncharacterized. Lineage: Eukaryota; Metazoa; Chordata; Mammalia; Chiroptera; Vespertilionidae. The transcript is spliced from 2 exons. The record is from RefSeq and is a predicted model, not a curated record.
AGGACCUAAGCACGGGCCUACAGGCUAGGAGCGGCCUGGGUCGGGAGGAUGUUUCCUGGACCCAGGCUGCUCAGCGCCCACAUAUGCAAAUUAGCCGCCAUCUUGUUCGCUCUCAUUGGCUGUGGGCAUAGCGGAGGUGCGGUCAAUUUGCAUGUUUCUCUAUUAUAAGAGUAAUUUGAAAUCAAAAGUAACUUUGGAGGAAGAAGAGAAACUGAUCAUUUCAAAGCAGACUUGAAGAACAUUUCCAAAUGUACAAGGCCCAGAAGAGCAAGCUAAUUCUUGUAAUCUUCCUUUACUUCUAAACAAAUCCAUUCCUGUUCUGAAUACAAGGGAAGUUAUUAUUGUA